UGGUGGGUAGUUUGACUGGGGCGGUCUCCUCCUAAAGAGUAACGGAGGAGCACGAAGGUUGGCUAAUCCUGGUCGGACAUCAGGAGGUUAGUGCAAUGGCAUAAGCCAGCUUGACUGCGAGCGUGACGGCGCGAGCAGGUGCGAAAGCAGGUCAUAGUGAUCCGGUGGUUCUGAAUGGAAGGGCCAUCGCUCAACGGAUAAAAGGUACUCCGGGGAUAACAGGCUGAUACCGCCCAAGAGUUCAUAUCGACGGCGGUGUUUGGCACCUCGAUGUCGGCUCAUCACAUCCUGGGGCUGAAGUAGGUCCCAAGGGUAUGGCUGUUCGCCAUUUAAAGUGGUACGCGAGCUGGGUUUAGAACGUCGUGAGACAGUUCGGUCCCUAUCUGCCGUGGGCGCU
RNAcentral lists this ribosomal RNA (397 nucleotides) under Escherichia coli. RNAcentral describes it as "partial 23S ribosomal RNA". It matches the Rfam family "Bacterial large subunit ribosomal RNA", at positions 2259 to 2655 of the family's 2925-position model. The record is from RNAcentral. RNAcentral also lists the same sequence under 3 other names. Lineage: Bacteria; Pseudomonadati; Pseudomonadota; Gammaproteobacteria; Enterobacterales; Enterobacteriaceae.